This 1248-nucleotide long non-coding RNA is filed under the name Vulpes vulpes (red fox). Its description in RNAcentral is "lncRNA (ENSVVUG00000001885.1)". Lineage: Eukaryota; Metazoa; Chordata; Mammalia; Carnivora; Canidae. The record is from RNAcentral.
GGGGUUUAGGAUGGAGCCCCACCUCGGUCUCUGUGCUUGGCAGGGAGUCUGCAUGAGACUCUCUCCCUCUCCCCUCUCCCCUCUAAUAAAUAAAUCUUAAAAAAAAAAAAAAAAGAAUUGGGUCACUAGGAAAAUCAGCCUUCUUUCUCUUCUUAUUUUGGUUAGCCCUCCCCCCAAAGAUAAGGUCUUAUUUGAAAUGAGGUGGGCGAUGAGGAGAAACAGGGAUUAUAAAGAAAGGAAUAAACACAUCGUUCCAACAAAUGGGUCUUUCUUGUACUAAGCACCCAGCCCAGUAUCUGGCCCACGGGAAACACUGAAUGAAUGAAUGAAUGAUUUCUGAGUAGUGCAAUGUUUACACAGCACUUAUGGCUCUGAUGAAAUCAACUGAUAGCUGAACAGAUUAUUUUUAUUUUAAUGUAGGCUUUAAGAUUUUAUUUAUAGGAAUAAAUGUUAAUUACAUGACAUUUUUAAAAUGCUCAAAUGCACAAAAUAGGAAUUAAGCUCACUUGUAAUCCCAUCACUCAGAAUUCAUCACUGUUAAUAUUUUAUAGUCAUAUAUCAACAUAUUGUAUAAGUUAUUUAAAAGCAAAACUACUAAAUGAUAAAAGAGUAAGCUAGGUUAUAUGGUACAGAAUUCAUAUAGCCUCAAAGUGCUACAUCCUGCCUGGAUUCUAGGGUUUUUUUUUUUUUUUUUUUGCACAAUUUUGCUCAAGUUUUCUGUUGUGUUUCAGUUUGGCUUGUAGGUCCAACCUAGUCAGCUCUUGCUGCAAGAAUGCUGCAUAACAAAAAACCAGGUGACAGAGAACAGGACAGCAACCAGGUCUUCUGAUCCAUGUCGCAUACAAUGUGCAGGUACCAUCGCAGUUUCCCUGCCUCAAGAUGGGAACUAACACACAUGGAGCAGAAUGCAAAGCAUCCAACUCUUGAUUUUCAGCUCAGGUCUUGAUCCUUCAUUGGGAUCCGUGCUGGGCACAGAGUCUGUAUUAAUAAAGAAAAUCACUUCUCAGUGGUGGACGAUCCAGAAGCCACAAUGCAUGUCCUGGACCAAACCAAGACCAAUUAAUACCAUCUUAGGACAACAUAUUCUGAAUGGAUCCAUGAAGAAAACAACAUGUUUUGCCGUAUAUUUUCCAUUAUUUUCGGAAACCUUCUUUAAAGGAAGAUUUUAUUGGUAAGAAUUAGAAUUUUUAAACCCUAAAUUAAAUAUCUGGGGAUCCGUCCUCUCCAGUUCCAUCCUAUCAGCUGACA